CAACCCUCAAGCUCUGCUUGGUAUUGGGCCCUUCCGCCGGUCACACGGCGGGCCUUAAAGUCAGUGGCGGCGCCGCUGGGUCCUGAACGUAGUAACACAUACCUCUCGUUACAGGGUCCCCGCGCGCUCCCGCCGUAAAACCCCCCUCAUUUUCUCUG
This 158-nucleotide unclassified non-coding RNA is filed under the name Clarireedia homoeocarpa. RNAcentral's name for it is "ITS2". Lineage: Eukaryota; Fungi; Ascomycota; Leotiomycetes; Helotiales; Rutstroemiaceae. The record is from RNAcentral.